Molecule: ribosomal RNA, 400 nt
Filed under: Klebsiella pneumoniae
Lineage: Bacteria; Pseudomonadati; Pseudomonadota; Gammaproteobacteria; Enterobacterales; Enterobacteriaceae
Description: bacterial SSU rRNA
Rfam family: Bacterial small subunit ribosomal RNA
Source: RNAcentral
GGCUGCAGUGGGGGAUAUUGGACAAUGGGGGGAACCCUGAUCCAGCGACGCCGCGUGAGUGAAGAAGUAUUUCGGUAUGUAAAGCUCUGUCAGCAGGGAAGAAAGAAAUGACGGUACCUGACCAAGAAGCCCCGGCUAACUACGUGCCAGCAGCCGCGGUAAUACGUAGGGGGCAAGCGUUAUCCGGAAUUACUGGGUGUAAAGGGAGCGUAGACGGUGAUGCAAGUCUGGAGUGAAAGGCGGGGGCCCAACCCCCGGACUGCUCUGGAAACUGUGUAACUUGAGUGCAGGAGAGGUAAGCGGAAUUCCUAGUGUAGCGGUGAAAUGCGUAGAUAUUAGGAGGAACACCAGUGGCGAAGGCGGCUUACUGGACUGUAACUGACGUUGAGGCUCGAAAGCG